AUUAAGCAAUGAAAAUACCCAGGUUUUAAGGUAUUACUGAAGAUUUGUUUUAAUUCUGAGAUCAAUAAUUAGAUACAGGAGAUUCAUGUGUUUGGAAAUUAGUCCAGAAAUUGUAAAAGCCAAUAUUUUUAUCUUUUUGUAUUAAAUUUUAAUUAAAUAUAUAAUGUUUUUUCUUUCCUACUCUUCCCACAGUCUACAGAUUUGAAAAUUAAGAGAUGUCACACAUGCUGAGUGAUGAGUGGGCUCUGGGAGAGAGAAACUUGUUCUUUUUUAUUAACAUGUCUGCUUUGUUCCUCUUACAGUUUGGAACGCUGAGCCUUACAUCCCAUAGUAGAAGUAAGAUGACUUAGCUACAUGAAUAGUAGUAACUACAACCAAAUUCCGCAUCAAGAAGAAAAACAUAAACCUGUCCUUUACAAUUGUAUCUCUGGAUAUAAAUUCUGAGACACCAAGAAAUUUCAGUGUGAAAGACAGCUUACUUACAUUAACGUAACACUGAAGUCUAGUAAGUCAUGUUAUUGUUAUCAUCCAUCACCAGCACUUGGAAAACAUUCUUACUUUGCUUGGAAUCAGAAACCUGCUUUGGGAUUUUUACCACCACUCAUGUGGAUGUCCUACUCAGCCUGCUCCGGAUGAAACUCUCCAAAUUAGAAGAACAUUUUUUAGAAAUUACACAGGAAAAAAGUUGACCAAGAUGGUGACAUAAGGAACCUCCUGAGCUCCCUUCCUUCCAUAGACACACUGAAUGUACAGCUACAUGUGGAGAAAUUCCCUCUGAAAGGGGAAACUAGCUGAACCACUCAUAAACAUCAAAUGAACGAGGAAAUACCCACUUUGAACCAGCAUCUGUGCUUGUCAGGCUGUCACUGGCAAUGUGUGAAAAUGCAAGGAAAAAAACAUGGCCAAUGACCUUCGUAAACUCACAUUCAAGAGGCUUCCUGGUAUCAUAACAUGUUAUUAAUUAAACUAUUGACAGUUUGAAGAAAAAAGUCAGUAUUUAUCAACAC
This is a long non-coding RNA of Acinonyx jubatus (cheetah), 1007 nucleotides long. RefSeq lists it as uncharacterized. NCBI's taxonomy places the organism in Eukaryota, Metazoa, Chordata, Mammalia, Carnivora, Felidae. The transcript is spliced from 5 exons. The record is from RefSeq and is a predicted model, not a curated record.